This 540-nucleotide ribosomal RNA is filed under the name Triticum aestivum (bread wheat). RNAcentral describes it as "partial small subunit ribosomal RNA". The record is from RNAcentral. Lineage: Eukaryota; Viridiplantae; Streptophyta; Magnoliopsida; Poales; Poaceae.
AUGAGUUGGAAAGCAACCUCACUCUUAGGUAUGAACGAACUCUCUAAGCUUAAUCAGUUUUACAAACAAAGAAGUAAGAAGGGAUGGGUUGUUGCUGGUGACCGUAAUACUAAGUUUUUUCAUCAGGCUGUGAUCAAGAGAAGGAAAAGGAACACUAUUUGUUUUAUUAAGGAUGAAAAUGAUGUGCUUCAUUUCAAACCAAAUGCGGUCACUAAUACUUUUGUCAACUAUUUUAGUAACACUGGCAGGCCUUUUCUCACUACUCAGUUGCCUAAUAACUCUUUGGAUCCUACUUAUUCCAUUCCAGAUAAACAUGAGGUACUACAGAUUCUUAAGGAGAUGAAGUUGAAUGCUUCUCCGGGUCCGGAUGGAUUUAAUGUUGAAUUCUACUUGGCGGCUUGGGGUUGGAUAGGUGAUAAGGUUGCACAACUUGUGGUUAAAUUUUAUGAAACUGGUAUUUUACCUCCUCAUAUCAAUGACACCAAUAUUGCUCUCAUUCCGAAGAAGUUAGCUCCUCGAGUUCCUAUGGAUUACCGUCCC